CAGUGCAGCUCAGUUCCUACCAAAGGUACUAAGCCCAUGAGACCUCCACCAGGCUUCCAUGCACUCACAACCACACAACUCACAAAGACUGACGACGCUUGUGAGCCCAAUAGUCCAAGUGGGAUAACCAGAGGAAUCAGCUUCAAAGAUAGACCUGCGUUGGAUGGGCAGACUAUUCGAUCACUUAUUGACAGACCCGUGUAUGCAAAUUUGGAGAGUAGAUUGCAUUUAAGUACCGAUAAUCAUUCCCCUAGGGGAAUAAGGCACAGGGCACCCCAGAUCAGUGAAAGCAGCAAAACUACCAUAACUACCCCCACAAUUAGGAGGAUGAAGCAGCCAUGCCGCAUAACAUCCCACUUCAGACUACUGUUUGAGCCUAUCCCGAGCAUUGAAUGACUUAAACAUUAACAGCACCUAAAAAUAUAGCACUAUAGUCUUAACUGAAUAAUGUAGAUAUUUUAUCCCCAAAUUAUAUCAAACAUAUUAAUAUUUUUUUGUAAAAGUCAUUGAAGCAUAAAAUUACCAAUACUGAUGAAAACUCAUUUUAAUUAGUAUUAGAAGUUGUCACAAGAAGUCAUUCAUAAGAUUAUGGGAAAAAAGAUAAAAUCUUAUUCUCUAAACUUCAUUGUUCACACAGUAUCAUACAAACGAAGAAAGCAAAAAAAAACCUUUAU
Long non-coding RNA from Nematostella vectensis (starlet sea anemone), 674 nucleotides. RefSeq lists it as uncharacterized. The record is from RefSeq and is a predicted model, not a curated record. NCBI's taxonomy places the organism in Eukaryota, Metazoa, Cnidaria, Anthozoa, Actiniaria, Edwardsiidae. The transcript has 2 exons.